UACUCUAUGUAGUGAAUUUUAGUGCAGGGAUAAAACGAUAAUUUUAAAAAUUUUUAAAAUUACUAUUUUACAGUGAAAAUUAUUAAUUAAACUAAUUAACUAAUAUGUAUAAAUCCUACACAAAGAUCUAAAUAUGAUAUAUAUAUAGCAUGCAUUUAAAUUUAAAAUUCAAACUUCUAUAGUAAAUAUUUUACUGUUAUGUGUUCAGAACACAUUACCUUUAUGCGGGUAGUCGAUCACCACAAUCUGAUCACCGUCGGAAGGGUCUGAUCAUCGUAAUGCAGCCACACAGUGUGUCUGGCCUC
Molecule: long non-coding RNA, 305 nt
Filed under: Elaeis guineensis (African oil palm)
Lineage: Eukaryota; Viridiplantae; Streptophyta; Magnoliopsida; Arecales; Arecaceae
Description: long non-coding RNA (EGUI_LNC052690)
Source: RNAcentral